AAGUGGGAAAGAAUCAGGUCAUCUAAUUGAAUUAGAAGGGGAAUUACCCAGACCCUGGAGCAGAGGUGAAGCAGCUCCCAGAAAGAAGGGCUGAAGACAGCACACAAAGAUGAGGAGUGGGGAAAUCAGUAAGAUAUUCAUUUGUGUCCAGAAGCAAAAAGGUCAAAAACCCAGAGCUGAGCUGCACAGGCACUGAGGAAAGCUGAGAUUGGCAGGCAGGUCUGGGCUGGGGCAGGAUCCCCAGAGGAAGAGAGAAAGCUCCAAGCCCCGCCAGGAUUUCUCGGCGGCUGCCUUGGCCUAACACUCAGUAUCGGUGCCUCAAGGGGAGGAUGAGUCAGUGCCAGCAGAUCCGACUUUAGGAUAAAAGCCACUGGAAGGCACUGGGCAAACGCAUUUCCUGUGAGAGGGCUCUCUUAUCACCCAAACCCUGGCCCUAUGCAGGAAACUAGGGGGUCCCUGGACCCUGCAGAAGAGCUCCUUCUUUAAGAGAAUGAGAGUGAAGUGCCUGGGUAAUUACCUUCUUUCCUCUGCAGAAGGUUUCAGCCAGACAUGUUGCCCAUUGGUUUCAUAAAGCUAUCUAAAGCCAAGGUUGGCAUAGCACAAAGGGCAAAGGGGUGAGUACUAGCUGAUGGCUGUGACCAUCACACCUUGCUGCAGGAGGCAAGGAAACCUGGAAACUAAAGAAUAUUCUUGGCCUCGGGCGUGGCUGUAAGUGCACAGAGUGCCUGGGUGCCUCACGGAGAAGACUGAUUAAUGGUGUGGGGAUCUGGCCAACUGGCAUGUGGUUCCUUUGAAGAAGGAAACAACCUUCAUUCAGCUUCCAGGACCUUCCGUGAGUUUCAAUGGGCAGAUUCAAGCAGUUGUCAUUUAGAGACUGGAGGGGAUGGAGACCUGGGAGAAAGAAACAGUCACGAGCAGCCUUGGGACAAGGUGCCAUUUCCCCAUCAACGAAACCCACAACAUCUUUGAGCUAUUUUGUGGAUACUGAAACCCCCUCCAGGUGGGAAAAGUUACGGUAUGCUGCCGGCAAGCAGGAAGACCCCAGGUCAUUUAAACCUGAAGGCUGACCUUGUUGACUCCUACUUACCUCACCACAAAUCCAUCAGAAGAAUGUCCACAAGCCGAUUACUCCCUCUUUUACUAUAAAACCUGUCACUAUCUUCCCCAAGUUAAGACACAUGGUUUUGAGGGUGUUAGGCUGCUAUCUCCACUUUUGCCUGGCAAAGCAAUAAAGCGACUCUUUUCUACUUCCCCCCAAA
Molecule: long non-coding RNA, 1259 nt
Organism: Bubalus bubalis (water buffalo)
Lineage: Eukaryota; Metazoa; Chordata; Mammalia; Artiodactyla; Bovidae
Exons: 2
Source: RefSeq, a predicted model, not a curated record